UACGUAGGGUGCAAGCGUUAAUCGGAAUUACUGGGCGUAAAGCGUGCGCAGGCGGUUUUGUAAGCCAGAUGUGAAAGCCCCGGGCUUAACCUGGGAAUGGCAUUUGGGACUGCAAGGCUUGAGUGCGGCAGAGGAGACUGGAAUUCCUGGUGUAGCAGUGAAAUGCGUAGAUAUCAGGAGGAAUACCGAUGGCGAAGGCAGGUCUCUGGGCUGACACUGACGCUCAUGCACGAAAGCGUGGGAGCAACAGG
This 251-nucleotide ribosomal RNA is filed under the name uncultured bacterium. RNAcentral's name for it is "partial 16S ribosomal RNA". It matches the Rfam family "Bacterial small subunit ribosomal RNA", at positions 524 to 776 of the family's 1533-position model. The record is from RNAcentral.